UUUAUUUUAAUUUUUUAUGUUCUAAACUUCACUUUUUAUAGGGAAGUAACUAAAGCUUCUCCUCUUUACCAAAUGAAAACGAUUUAACUUUCGGUUAUAUACGUUAGAAUUUCCCUUGCAGCACAUGGUCAUCAUUCAUUGUAUAAGAUCUCUGAUUGCAUAACCCAAAGUCAUGGCUAAAAAAACAAAAAAUUCCGUCACUCGCUGAGAAUCUUCACAGCGAUAAAGCUGUCAGAUACAGACAUAAAUAAGAAUUAAAGAAAAGAGAAAAGAAACCCAUCAAAUUGAAAGUUAUUGGCAGUUAAUUAGUUGUUGGACCAAUCCGAAUGGUGCUUAUGCCUUCUAGAACAUUCUUUCCUUGACCAUUCUUUGAUCAUAGCUAAUUUUGUGCUACACCGGCAUCGGAGUAUUUCAUAAGUCGCGAUGUCUAUGGCGCAAUUGGACCCUCGGAGUCUGGCACUUAAUUAAUGUUCUUAAAUAAAUUCAUAUUUUCGGAGUGUGUGUUGAUGUUCUGUAAGAAAUUAUUUUCGGCUACCUGUCGUGACUUAAUGACCUUUUCGCAGCUGAAGCCUGGCAUCAACUUAAGUAUAUUAAUUAUUAUUGGCAGACACUUUACAAAGCAGCCAACACGAGAAACAAUAAAAUAUCAA
This is a non-coding RNA of Drosophila virilis, 650 nucleotides long. The record is from RefSeq and is a predicted model, not a curated record. Lineage: Eukaryota; Metazoa; Arthropoda; Insecta; Diptera; Drosophilidae.